AGGACGAACGCUGGCGGCGUGCUUCAUACAUGCAAGUCGAACGAGAAUCUUUAGCUUGCUAGAGAGGAAAGUGGCGGACGGGUGAGUAAUGUGUAGAGAAUCUGCCCUAGAGAGAGGGACAACAGUUGGAAACGACUGCUAAUACCUCAUAUGCGCGUAGCUGAGAUGCUAUUCGUGAAAACUCCGGUGCUCUGGGAUGAGUCUGCAUCUGAUUAGCUAGUUGGCGGUGUAAUGGACCACCAAGGCGACGAUCAGUAGCUGGUUUGAGAGGAUGAUCAGCCACAAUGGGACUGAGACACGGCCCAUACUCCUACGGGAGGCAGCAGUAGGGAAUUUUGCGCAAUGGGGGAAACCCUGACGCAAGCAACGCCGCGUGAUUGAAUAAGCCCUUCGGGGUGUAAAGAUCUGUCAGUAGGGACGGAACUUGACGGUACCUACAGAGGAAGCAUCGGCUAACUCCGUGCCAGCAGCUGC
Molecule: ribosomal RNA, 474 nt
Filed under: uncultured bacterium
Lineage: Bacteria
Description: bacterial SSU rRNA
Rfam family: Bacterial small subunit ribosomal RNA
Source: RNAcentral